CUGGCUAUGCAGUCCAGUCCAGGUUUGAAGAAUAGAAUUGGUACCAUACCUGCAUGUCCUUUUCUGGACUUUAUUGGGAAUUUUUCGAAUAUUUCACACUGAGGAAGCCAGCCUCCAUGAUGUAAAGAAGCUUACACCAGAAAACUGAAAGAGGAGACAGUACAUGUGGGUAGAGAUGCCACGUGGAAGAGCAUCGAGGCACCAGACAUGUAAUAAAUGUUAAUUCUAAGUUUAAAAAAAAGAGAAGAAAAUAUGAAGAAGUAAAAAUAAUUUAUUUCUAAUUAAGAAGAGAAAAACACCAUUUUUCAUGGCAUUUGUGUAUUUUGUCAAGACCACAUCUUCCCCUUGGCCCUGAUGAGCAUGCAGACCACUAGUAGCAAUGAAGCUAGCUUGGUUUUGGCACCAAAGUUCUGCCACCAUCAAGAGAAGAGAAUGGAUCUCAGAAUGAACAUAUGUUGAGGAAAUGGAGCAAGGAACCAUAUCCAGCAGAACUUGCAAUUUGAAGCAAUCAGGAGAGAUCAUCCAAUUCGCAGUCAACCUGCAUGCCCAUGAGUGUGAAAAUAAAUGCUUAUGGUUGCAUGCCCCCAAGUUUGUCAUUCAGCAUUGUUGUAGCAAUAGAUUAUUGAUAUAAUUCUUAAAGGCAGAUACCAUGUUGAAUUCAAGUUUGUCCAUGACACUUAUCCAAGUGC
Molecule: long non-coding RNA, 689 nt
Filed under: Equus caballus (horse)
Lineage: Eukaryota; Metazoa; Chordata; Mammalia; Perissodactyla; Equidae
Description: lncRNA (ENSECAG00000059868.1)
Source: RNAcentral